Molecule: transfer-messenger RNA, 374 nt
Filed under: Bacilli
Lineage: Bacteria; Bacillati; Bacillota
Also listed under: 1 other name
Description: RUG12438 sp902783215 Standard tmRNA
Rfam family: transfer-messenger RNA
About the family: Bacterial tmRNA, also known as 10Sa RNA or SsrA, is named for its dual tRNA and mRNA-like properties. Its role is to liberate the mRNA from a stalled ribosome. To accomplish this part of the tmRNA is used as a reading frame that ends in a translation stop signal.
Source: RNAcentral
GGGGUCGUCUAGAUUCGACGGGUAUAUUUGAGUAUUAGUGGCAAGUCGAAGGUACGCGUUAAGUACAACAAAAAAAUAACUGGAAAAAAAGUUAAAAACGCAGUUGCUGCACUUUUCUCUAGAAACAGUGUAGCUUUCGCCUAAUCGAAAUAGGUCUGCACUUUCUAAAUAUAUUUUCCUAUGAUUAUUUAGAAGGUUCAUUUUUAUAGGAUAUAUUACUACGAUGUCUAUAAGUAGUAAUGAAUAAUAUAGACUUACUAAUAAAAUGGUUGUUAAUUUCUAUAUUUAUUAGGACAAUUAAAAAUUAACUAAACUUGUAGAAGCUUUUAUGUUGUUGUAUUCGGACAUGGGUGCAAUUCCCAUCGACUCCACCA